RNAcentral lists this unclassified non-coding RNA (376 nucleotides) under soil metagenome. Its description in RNAcentral is "partial contains 5.8S ribosomal RNA, internal transcribed spacer 2, and large subunit ribosomal RNA". The stretch from base 1 to 120 matches the Rfam family "5.8S ribosomal RNA", at positions 35 to 154 of the family's 154-position model. The record is from RNAcentral.
GAUGAAGAACGUAGCGAAAUGCGAUAAGUAAUGUGAAUUGCAGAAUUCAGUGAAUCAUCGAAUCUUUGAACGCAUCUUGCGCUCCUUGGUAUUCUGAGGAGCAUGCCUGUUUGAGUGUCAUUAAAUUCUCAACUACACUGACUUUGAAUUGGUGUGGCUUGGAUUUGGGGGGAAAAUUGUUGUGGGCUUUUUGUAUAGUCUGCUCCCCUGAAAUUGAUUAGCGGUACCUUUGUGGAACUGUCUACAGGUGUGAUAAUUAUCUACAUCUUAGACAUCUGCUGGAAUGCUGCUUUCUAAACCUUACUUGUAUUGACAAUCUUGACCUCAAAUCAGGUAGGACUACCUGCUGAACUUAAGCAUAUCAAUAAGCGGAGGA